AAGACCUUGCGCUUUUGGAGCGGCCGAUGCCUGAUUAGCUUGUUGGUAAGGUAAAAGCUUACCAAGGCUUCGAUCAGUAGCUGGUCUGAGAGGACGGCCAGCCACACUGGGACUGAGACACGGCCCAGACUCCUACGGGAGGCAGCAGUGGGGAAUUUUGGACAAUGGGGGCAACCCUGAUCCAGCCAUGCCGCGUGAGUGAAGAAGGCCUUCGGGUUGUAAAGCUCUUUCAGCCGGAACGAAACGGUUACGGUUAAUACCCGUGAUUACUGACGGUACCGGAAGAAGAAGCACCGGCUAACUACGUGCCAGCAGCCGCGGUAAUACGUAGGGUGCGAGCGUUAAUCGGAGUUACUGGGCGUAAAGCGUGCGCAGGUGGUUUUGUAAGUCAGAUGUGAAAGCCCCGGGCUCAACCUGGGAACU
This 423-nucleotide ribosomal RNA is filed under the name uncultured bacterium. RNAcentral's name for it is "bacterial SSU rRNA". It matches the Rfam family "Bacterial small subunit ribosomal RNA", at positions 207 to 622 of the family's 1533-position model. The record is from RNAcentral.